UGAUAGGUCUAGCUUCACACGAGCAG
This 26-nucleotide non-coding RNA is filed under the name Homo sapiens (human). The record is from RNAcentral. Lineage: Eukaryota; Metazoa; Chordata; Mammalia; Primates; Hominidae.